This 358-nucleotide ribosomal RNA is filed under the name uncultured bacterium. RNAcentral's name for it is "bacterial SSU rRNA". It matches the Rfam family "Bacterial small subunit ribosomal RNA", at positions 29 to 412 of the family's 1533-position model. The record is from RNAcentral.
AACGAACGCUGGCGGCAUGCCUAACACAUGCAAGUCGAACGAGACCUUCGGGUCUAGUGGCGCACGGGUGCGUAACACGUGGGAAUUUGCCUCGGGGUAUGGAAUAACUCAGGGAAACUUGAGCUAAUACCAUAUAAUGUCUUCGGACCAAAGAUUUAUCGCCCUGAGAUAAGCCCGCGUAGGAUUAGCUAGUUGGUGGGGUAAAGGCUCACCAAGGCGACGAUCCUUAGCUGGUCUGAGAGGAUGAUCAGCCACACUGGGACUGAGACACGGCCCAGACUCCUACGGGAGGCAGCAGUGGGGAAUAUUGGACAAUGGGCGGAAAGACCUGAUCCAGCAAUGCCGCGUGAGUGAUGAA